GGAGCGCACGGCGGCUGUUCGGGAAUAGGAGUGAGAUAGCGGCUGGGCAUCGCGGGGUUCAGUUGUUGGAGAGGAUAAGGGGGACGGCAGCUGCACUCGGCACCAUGGGACACCCAACGUGGUUGGAGAGGAUAAGGUUGAUGGCUGAUUUCUUUGUUCGCCUUUGUUGUGGUCAAUGGUUUCACAUCCUUCUUAAUCCCUUGCCAUGAGGCAAUAAAUCGCAAAAGAGCAGACACCACCCUAUGCUCCACCUUCCAUGUACAUGUAUUCUUCUUCGGACCCUGAACCGAAGGCUUCUUCCGGUCCUUAUCAAGGUACGGCUGAUAGGUGGUUUCACCGCGGAGCUCCCUCGCCGUCAGUACAGCGAUGCUUGAUCGAUCGUGCCGCAGCUCAUCACCUUGCAUCGCCCUCCCACCACUGCUUCUCUCUGAUCUUGGUCAGAUGUUCUGGUUGAUGUGCAAGGAGAUGAGAGGGCAAGCUAGGGGAAUGGAAUUAGAGAGACGAUUGUAGAGCGGCAUCGUUGUUGUCCCUGUUGCUUUAUUCUUUUCUUACUCAAGUGGUUACUUUACCUUCAUCAGUCCAUCUUCACACUUUUGAUUGUCUCAGCUUAGCUUGCAGUUCCAGCUUAGAUUUGUCAGUUUUAUGGGUUAGCCAGAUUGUUCAAAUAUUUGUUGUCCAAUUUAUUUAUAAUCUAACUGUGCAAAUGUUUGGUUGAUUCACAAUUUUCUCAUCCUUUCACCGCUUGUGUUUAUCAGGUCUGGAGAUAUGAACCAAUCACCCAGAUACCUUUACUAGGCUGAUGCAUAUGGAGCUUGCAAUCAGAUCCAAAAUAUGGAGCUGUCUAACAAAAGCAGACUUUAUGGUUUGAAGAUGACAUGUAUGCAAUGUGUGGUCUGCACUGAUGAGACGUUGGAGGGGCAAGUACUGCACUUGGUUCAGUGCAUAUACAAGAUGGUAGAAAAAAGGGUGUGAUAAUGUAGUUAUAGCUUUGCACGACGAAUAGCAUGAGGUUUGGCCUAUAACUUUGUUCGGUAGGGUUGGGAAAUUCUGAAUGAUUUUCUUGACUGAACAAUAUGUAUCCGUACAAUAAUUGCUCCUUUGUUUGUAUAUAUAUUUGUUUGAUUUGCUCCC
Triticum aestivum (bread wheat) is the source of this 1131-nucleotide long non-coding RNA. RefSeq lists it as uncharacterized. The record is from RefSeq and is a predicted model, not a curated record. NCBI's taxonomy places the organism in Eukaryota, Viridiplantae, Streptophyta, Magnoliopsida, Poales, Poaceae. The transcript is spliced from 2 exons.